RNAcentral lists this ribosomal RNA (322 nucleotides) under uncultured eukaryote. RNAcentral describes it as "partial 18S ribosomal RNA". It matches the Rfam family "Eukaryotic small subunit ribosomal RNA", at positions 1470 to 1796 of the family's 1831-position model. The record is from RNAcentral.
CCCUUAGAUGUCCUGGGCCGCACGCGUGCUACACUGAGUGGAUCAGCGGGUCAGGUUGCGCGAAAGUGUUUCCUAAUCUUGAAAUCCGCUCGUGAUGGGGAUUGACGGUUGCAAUUUUCCGUCAUGAACGAGGAAUACCUUGUAAGCGCGGGUCAUCAUCCCGCGCUGAAUACGUCCCUGCCCUUUGUACACACCGCCCGUCGCUCCUACCGAUUGAGUGGUCCGGUGAGGCUUUGGGAUCUGAGCAAAGAGAGCGUUUCGCUCGUUUUGCUCGGAAAACUCAGUCGAACCUUAUCAUUUAGAGGAAGGAGAAGUCGUAACA